CCAAUAGCGUAUAUUAAAGUUGUUGCAGUUAAAAAGCUCGUAGUUGAAUUUCGGGGUUAGUAGGUUGGUCAUGCCUCUGGUAUGUACUGGUCUCACUGAUUCCUCCUUCCUGAUGAGCCGUAAUGCCAUUAAUUUGGUGUUGCGGGGAAUUUGGACUGUUACUUUGAAAAAAUUAGAGUGUUUAAAGCAAGCUAACGCUUGAAUACAUUAGCAUGGAAUAAUGAAAUAGGACGUUCGAUCCUAUUUUGUUGGUUUCUAGGAUUGGCGUAAUGAUUAAUAGGGAUAGUUGGGGGCAUUAGUAUUCAAUUGUCAGAGGUGAAAUUCUUGGAUUUAUUGAAGACUAACUACUGCGAAAGCAUUUGCCAAGGAUGUUUUCAUUAAUCAAGAACGAAAGUUAGGGGAUCGAAGACGAUCAGAUACCGUCGUAGUCUUAACCAUAAACUAUGCCGACUAGGGAUCGGAUGAUGUUAAUUUUUUAAUGACUCAUUCGGCGCCUUACG
Molecule: ribosomal RNA, 500 nt
Filed under: uncultured Glomeromycotina
Lineage: Eukaryota; Fungi; Glomeromycota
Description: partial small subunit ribosomal RNA
Rfam family: Eukaryotic small subunit ribosomal RNA
Source: RNAcentral